Molecule: ribosomal RNA, 490 nt
Filed under: uncultured bacterium
Lineage: Bacteria
Description: partial 16S ribosomal RNA
Rfam family: Bacterial small subunit ribosomal RNA
Source: RNAcentral
AUUGAACGCUGGCGGCAGGCUUAACACGUGCAAGUCGAGCGGUAGCACAGGGGAGCUUGCUCCCUGGGUGACGAGCGGCGGACGGGUGAGUAAUGUCUGAGAAACUGCCUGAUGGAGGGGGAUAACUACUGGAAACGGUAGCUAAUACCGCAUAACGUCGCAAGCACAAAGAGGGGGACCUUCGGGCCUCUUGCCAUCAGAUGUGCCCAGAUGGGAUUCGCUAGUAGGUGGGGUAAUGGCUCACCUAGGCGACGAGCCCUAGCUGGUCUGAGAGGAUGACCAGCCACCCUGGAACUGAGACACGGUCCAGACUCCUACGGGAGGCAGCAGUGGGGAAUAUUGCACAAUGGGCGCAAGCCUGAUGCAGCCAUGCCGCGUGUGUGAAGAAGGCCUUCGGGUUGUAAAGCACUUUCAGCGGGGAGGAAGGUGGUGAGCUUAAUACGUUCAUCAAUUGACGUUACUCGCAGAAGAAGCACCGGCUAACUCCGUG